CCUACGGGCGGCUGCAGUAGGGAAUCUUCGGCAAUGGGGGCAACCCUGACCGAGCAACGCCGCGUGAGUGAAGAAGGUUUUCGGAUCGUAAAACUCUGUUGUUAGAGAAGAACGUUAAGUAGAGUGGAAAAUUAUUUAAGUGACGGUAUCUAACCAGAAAGGGACGGCUAACUACGUGCCAGCAGCCGCGGUAAUACGUAGGUCCCAAGCGUUGUCCGGAUUUAUUGGGCGUAAAGCGAGCGCAGGUGGUUCCUGAAGUGUUAUGUAAAAGGCAGUGUCUCAAGCAUUGUGUGCAUUGGAAACUGGGAGAGUUGAGUGCAGGAGAUGAGAGUGGAAUUCCAUGUGUAGCGGUGAAAUGCGUAGAUAUAUGGAGGAACACCGGAGGCGAAAGCGGCUCUAUGGCCUGUAACUGACACUGAGGCGCGAAAGCGUGGGGAGCAAACAGGAUUAGAUACCCGGGUAGUC
RNAcentral lists this ribosomal RNA (465 nucleotides) under uncultured Lactococcus sp. RNAcentral describes it as "bacterial SSU rRNA". It matches the Rfam family "Bacterial small subunit ribosomal RNA", at positions 338 to 795 of the family's 1533-position model. Lineage: Bacteria; Bacillati; Bacillota; Bacilli; Lactobacillales; Streptococcaceae. The record is from RNAcentral.